UGGGCUACCAAGGGAGUCAGGAGCUGACCAGUGAAGAAGAUCCCAGCCUUGUUCAGACGAAGAGGCGGAAGCAGAACAAGGUGUGCAUUCUCCAGAUGAGGAAAAAUGAGGUGAAAGAGGAAGACAAGGAGGACAAGGAGGAUGAGGAAGAGGAGGAGGACCAGAGAGAGGGGCCCCCUACCUCUUUGCAAUCACCUAGGACAGGACAGAGGCAAUGCCCGUACUCAAGAAUCCGCCAAGUGAGGCACAAGGAGCACCUGAGCAUCUUGGAAAGUAGCUUGAGCUUAUCCACCAAUGAAACCAAGUUGUCUGUCCAUGUUUUUGCCAAUACUUAUGUAGCUGCUGCCACAGGAAGCAGAAGUCAGUGGAGGAAAACAAGGCAUCCGACUCUGGAGCAAGGAGGAGCCCGGGUGAGACUGACUCAGCUGUGAGCUU
This 435-nucleotide long non-coding RNA is filed under the name Pan troglodytes (chimpanzee). RNAcentral's name for it is "long non-coding RNA NONPTRT000495". Lineage: Eukaryota; Metazoa; Chordata; Mammalia; Primates; Hominidae. The record is from RNAcentral.